GAACGCCAUCAACUGCAGCGGUGCACUUCUUCACAAACACGAGCAUAUAUGCACAAACGCUAAGCAACAGCUACGGAAUCCAAAACGGAGACACGCACCUUUUUCCUGCCUCAAUGCGAGCACGUAAACUUUCAAAGGACUCUUCACAUCACUGUUACCUUAUCCUUCCUCCCUCCAAAUCUGCCUCUCUGAGGAUGGGUGAGGGGUGCCUUACAGACCCGCACACACGCGUGACCAGAAAGAACUCACGAAAAGGGAGGGGCAGGGAGCCCAACACCCCGCACCCAUUUCCCUUUCUCUCGUCUCUUUAUUCCUUAGUACUUUCACCACGUAACUGCGUCUUUCACACCAACGCGUUGCACAUACACAUACACACGUACACCCAACCGUCUUUGCAUAACUCAUAGACACAGAAGCUCUGCGUUCACAGAGAUAGCGAAAAAAAAAGGAGCUACCUCAAAACCCUUUUCCUUCAAUCGAACACACCGCCAAGCGAGACGUGCGGUGAAGCUUCAGUGUGUUAAGGGCGUAUUCAGCGCGGCUGUGUGUCUCCGCUGACACAGCACUCAAGAGGGUGCGACGAGCCUUCCAGUGCGCACAGCAACGUGGUAGCAGCCUCCAAAGAGACAGGCCGAAAGGGGGCGGUGAAUACCUCGGGAAGCAGGGCGCAGUGCCAGACACGAUGAGUGCUGAUGCCGACGCGAGUCCGACGGAUCCAUUCUUGAACUCUCGAAGUACAGAGGCGAGCCGCUCAAGGGCUGACAAUGACGGCGCCAUGGUAGUGGAGGUCGUGGACGACUGCCAGACAGCCUCGUCUUCUUCCGCCGCACCUGCUGCACCGUUCGCCACUCGUGUUCGCCCUUCCACAAUCGUCGCUAGGGGAGAAAGUCCGCAGGAAGCUAUGACGCAUCUAGCUAACAAUGCAGCGGCAUCUACAAGUGCUGCUGCAAUCAUGCACCAUUCUCGCAAGCGAGAGCGACCGGCAGUCGCAUUGGCGUCCGCAGGCUCCUCCACCUCGACAACGGCGGCGCCGCCACUCGCGCAGAGGCGACGAAUAGCUGGCCAGCGGAAGAGCGGCGCGACACCAUCAUCAUCUCGUCGCGCAGGCGGUGCCGCUCGUACGAUCGUGGAUCGUGGCCAACACUCUACUAAGGAUAGGAGUGAUGAGGAUGAACUUGCUGAAGGCGCAGGCGGUGAGUAUUGCAGCGAAAACGAAGAAGGCUACGUGCCCGACGACGGUGUAGAGGGGGACGCCGAGGAGAGAGCACUCGUUUCUGCGUCCAUCGCUUUGAUGGCGGGCCAAGGAGCGCUUACCGCCCCCUCGGCUGCCUCUGCUACGCCUCACUUGUGGCUUGUCACAGAUGCGUUUCACGUGUGUCUUUGGUAUGUCCUGCGCUAUGCAGGACGCGCGUUGAGCGCGGAGGAUCUCUGGGCGUGUCGAGCCCUCCUCUCCUUGACGGCAGUCGACGCUACCGAAGAGGAAGAUGGCGGAGAGCGUGCGACAGCGCCGUUUGCUGCGGCGCAAGCACGAAGCGCAAACAUGCAUUUCGACGACUGGGCUUGGAGUGGCAGUGAGGAAUCGGAGUUGCUCCUUAGGCUUCUCCUGCGCCAUGCGCACGGCUUCACCGCACGCCACCUCGAGCUCCGCUACGGAGACUGGCUGCACGUGCAGCCUGCCCUAAACGCGCUGACACAACGGCGCUUUCUCUGGUGGGCUACGAAACAGGCCUCGCUUGACUCUGCUGGUGGUGGUGCUGAGACUGUGUGCCUGCACGGCGCUGAGGAGGACGCGUCCACAGACUUGACGGAGACCCCCUUGCUACCGGCCGACGAGCUCGCCCGUACGGAGAUGGCGUCAUCACCGCUGGUGGAGCACUACGACGGGGCAAGAGUGGCGCGACUUCUUCUGAGUUGUUGCGACGAAGGUAGGCCGCAGCAUCGUCACGCCACUGCCGUCAGCAAGUCGGCGUCGUCGUUCAGCAGCGUGGAGACGGUCAUUCGUGUGGCACAGGCGGUGCGCGCUACGGAGCUGCGGACGUUUCUGACGACGCUGCGUCACUGCAGCAAGGCACGAGCCUUGAUGGAUGAACGCGCUCGAGGAGGUGAUGCAACCAUCACUACCCGUGCUAUCGCCUUCACCACGGCAUCCACCCUCGGAACUUCAGGCAACGCUUUGUGCAAAGAUGGCAGUUCUGGCGGGGGUGUCAUGGCGGAACCAACGCCUGUGCUGCGCCUAAAGAGCAGCGGCUGGACGGACGACGUUGCAUGUGCGCGGCCAGGGCAGAUAAGCCAUAAUAGUCUGUACGACGUGAUACCGGGACGUAAGCGAGAUAUGAUUCGCUACCUUGUUGAGCGGCGGUACUCUGUGUGGGUGCCAACAAGCACCGUCAACGGCUCACCAGCAGCGUCGGCGACUACCGAUACUCCCACCACGGAUACAAUGAUACCUUCUCACGGCCCGCCUCUUACAGCACCGCAUGCUCUCUCCUCUGCGCCGUUGAUCACCAGGCCUUCCCCUCGAGGUGCAGUUCGUUGCACCAGUGCCUUUGCGAGUGCCCCUGAUCGGUCUCCAUUUCGUCGAUGUUUCCCGACUGUGAGUGUGGAGUCGGACGCGGUGGCGCAAUGCUGGGAUCGUGUUAUCGGUUCCGUCUAUGUGCCACACUCAGGGCUAAGACAGCACCUUACGUGGAUUACGGAGCUAUUCCACGUUUUAACCUCCAACAACGGCGCCGGGAUGGUGAGCGGGCAAGGCGCGAAAGCAGUGAUGGCCACAAUGACGGUGGCUACUCCGCCAACACUGCUGAUGGUGCGGCCGCAGCUCCUGCUCCUGCUACAGACUCUCCGUGCCGCUCGCCACCAGGCGCGGCCGAGCUUGACUGAGCCGUCACCAUCUACCGCGGCGCACCCGGACCCGAAGGCCUUCAAGGAGAGCGUUCCGCAUGCCCUUCUGCCACAGUGGUGCUCACCACCACCGGUAGUAAAGGCGACAAAGGUAGCAUUGCCACGUGUAUGCGGGCAGCUGUACAGAGACAUCUCCUCUGGUGGAAGAGCAGCCAACAAGACGGAGAGUCGAUCUCGCCCUGAUGCUUCAGCCGAGCCGAGCGACAACGAUUCAAGUUUGAUGGAUACGAUUGUGCACACAUCCCGCUCAUUUCGGGACUUUGGCGCUGCUGAGGAUGGCACUGUUACCCAGGUGUGGCAGACUCCACCGCAUGUGUGUCUCUUCUCCAGCCCUGCCACCUUGCAGGAAUACCGCCGGGCCCUUUCCACUCAGCGCGAGCUGUACUGCGUGACUGAAGGCGCCGUGACUGCAGCGCAGCGCCAUCGCGGAAAGAGCAGCGCCUUCGUGUCGCACAUGUAUGACACUGUCAUGGCCGCCGUGCGUGCGGGUGUGGCGGCAGUGAAGCAGCAUCCACACCAUGCGCGCACUGCCGCCUCCGCUUCUUUGGUCUCUGGUAAGGUGACGCACUUCGGUUCCAUGCACCCGCCUGCUCCUCCCGUCGUCUCCGAAGCAGCGCCGUUGUCAAAGCACUUUACGCAAUCGGUGACUGCAUCGCUGGAGUCACUAGUUUAUCACCAAGGGUGCCACGCCGAGCAUCUUCUGAUUUUUACGCCGCUUUACCGCUGGUUUGCAUGCCUGGAGCUCUUGUUUCCACUGCUGCAGAGCGCGCGACGGUACGACGACGCCAAUGCCUGCUUGCACCACCUUCUCUAUGAACCAAUCUUUGUGCUGCAUCACAUGCCGGUGAGCGGCGCUCGCUGUCACAUCUCCCCAAUCACGUAUGAGUUUCGCUACAAACCGCACAAGCGGGGGAAGUGGGUAGCGCGGCUGGCCCAGAACCUGUCUCAUCAAAAACGUUACGCGGAGGCGUUCGCAGUGCUGGAGGAGGCUCAGGCGGGGUAUCGUGAGUUGGCGAGCCACACGGCCGACGACGCGCGCUCGGUGCCCGCCACCGGCUCCGACGGCGGCGGGCACGUGACGAAUGACAAGUGGUUGCCGUGUGAUGCUAUGUCCAACUCCACAGCAGCUGCGCUCUGCAACGUGCUUGCAGGCAAUCACUCUCCGGCCAGCGAGUCUGCGUUGCCGAUAAAGGUGCAGCAGCGCAGCCGCAUGCUUCGUGUACUCUGGCCUGCUGCUGCUUCGGCGACGUUCGCCACUGAUGAUAACAACAGUUCUCCGCCUGCGGCAGAGGGACUAUCACCUGCCUCGCUCGCGUUGCUUCACGCAGCGUGGGAGUACGUGCGGGACCGGUACUGCCGCCGCCAGGAUCGGCUCACACUGGAAAGGCUGCUGGCAGUGACGCACCGCAAAGUGCGUCAGUGGACUCCGCCAGCAGCGUAUCUGGAGUUUGCAACGCGUCGUCUCGUGGACGUGGCGAUGCGCCACAUUGGCGGCGUGCGAGAUAAGCUGGAUCGCAUGCUUUGGCGUGAACCUAGCGGUCAAGCACCUGGACGCCCAAGCAAAUCAGCAGGCGGAGCCGCGGAAGCGGCAAAGUCUACGACGCCGAGUGGUGCGCUCCACCCACAGCGUCGCCCUGCGUUGCCUGUUGAGCUGCUCGUUCUUCAGCACUAUCUGAGUCGAUGGAACGGUGCCUCGAGGACGACGGCCGCGGCCGCAAAUGCUGCCACUGAUCCGAAGCCUCGGAGGCGCAAAGGCACGCUGACGGCCAACUCCGCUAAGGCAGAAACCGAGGGGAGAGACAACGCCGGGGGCGCGAAGGUGACCUCUGUGUGGUGUGGCGUGCACUGUGAGGGCCAGUGGAUUGCGUGUCUUGCUCGAGCUCUCUUGUGGGACUGCUACUGGGCAUUUCCCUCUGUCUCUCCCCCACUUGCCAGCUUCCCAGUCAGUGCAGGCGACCACGAGUCCGACCAGCCGCCGCUACAGACCUGUUCGACCCACGAGGUGCUCUGGCUCUCUGCGUUUCAGGACGGCCCACUCGAUUUGACCACGCCUAUUCAGUUUCUAUGGCGCCGACGCGCCUUGAUCGAGGCACGCCUGGCGCAGCUGGAGCGCUGCACGAGGGAGGAACUGAUAGCAUAUGUCGGUGCCCGCAUCAAGGUGGAAGGGAACACCGCCGAAGGGGUAGGGCCGAGCAAUCUCAAGGCGCGAAGGCGAGACGCAGGGGCCGAAGCACCGCGUAAGGAAGCGCACGUAGUUCAGCGUGCGGAUGAGGACAAGGGCUACGACAGGGACGAGGAGCGAGCACGCCGUCGACGCAGUCGAGAUGAGUACGGCUGUGGCCCACAUCGCCACAGCUACACCGCAAAGAUGGAGGAGGAAUUUCGCGGGAGCAAUGAAGAAGACUCGGUGCAGAUUGCGUCUUCCCUGCCAGCAACGCCACUGCUGUCCACUGGGUCCGAGACGUCGUCGCUUGUGCUUGGGCGGGUGGUGCAGGAGAGGAACGCAGAGGCGCAAAGAGUAGAGUCGGUGAAGGACAGUGCUGACGCAUCACUCUCCUCCCGCGUCUCAACGCUUGCCGUGCCAGAGGCAUGGAAGGUGCCAGUCGGGCCGCUGCCGUUGCUCGACAUUCUGCGUGCCAUCCCCCUCGAGCCUCUUUGGCGGCUCUUGCGGUGUCUUUACCUCAGCCCAGUCACGGAAGGGGUGCCACUGGCGUUUUCUGGCUUCCCCGACUUGGUCUUUUGGCGCACUGGCGGCAGCGGCGGUGGUGAGUGCAGCAAUGCGGCUCUUCAGCCCUCAGUGGGGGGUGACUCUGCUGUACUGCGCACCUCUUUCUGCUUGAUGGAGGUAAAGGGCCCCAGCGAUUUCUUGAGCACGAAGCAGAUCGCCGUGAACGAUCUGCUGCAUCGCUGCGGUUUUGAGGUCUGCGUCGUGCGUGUGGAUGAGGUGUACGACGAUGGCCAGCGCGUCAGCACCAAACGCAUCCGCUAGGAGGUGGCAAGGGAGGUAGGUCUGGAAGGAGAACAAAAGAGGGAUAGCCACCACCGCAGCAACGGUGUGUGGGAUAAUGCUGUUUCCCGUUUUGCCGUUGUGCCAUGCUCCACGUGUGUCGCUGCUCCCUUUCUCUGUCUCGCUUUGAGUGCUGCUGCUGCCAACUGCGUGUAUGUAGGUGUGUCGUUGUCCUUGCCCCACCACUGUCGGCGUUCGCGAAAGGCGUACUGCUUAUCAUAGCUGCAUGUGCCGGUCACAUGGAAGCUGAACAAACGGUUAACGCACACACACACACACACACACACACACACACAACGCACAUAUCGCAUAAGCAUGAAGCGCUUAGCGUGCGCACUCUCUGCUUCUGCUGCUGCAAGUACGGGUACUUGCCUUUGCGUUUCUGGGUAGCAGCAACGGAUGGUGCUGCUCUUCAAACUCCUCCACGCACACUCGUGCGUGCAGACAGUGGGUUCACUUCCCAACUCUCAUGCUAUUUAUCUGUAUCCACUCCUCGGCUAGUUGUCCCUCUCUCCUUGUUACGUCCUCCUCCUCCUCUUCGCUUCGUCAAG
RNAcentral lists this unclassified non-coding RNA (6459 nucleotides) under Leishmania donovani. Its description in RNAcentral is "gene:LdHU3.36.3800(CDS-product:VRR-NUC_domain_con taining_protein_putative)". Lineage: Eukaryota; Euglenozoa; Kinetoplastea; Trypanosomatida; Trypanosomatidae. The record is from RNAcentral.